CAUUAUUUUAGAUGUGAAUUGGUUAAACUGGAGUAGUAGUAGUUAGGAUCUUAAAACUUAAAGAAUUUGGCGGUAUUUUAGUCUAUUUAGAGGAAUCUGUUCCAUAAUUGAUAAUCCGCAUUGGACCUUACUUAAUUUAUUAAAUAUGUAUACCGCCGUUGUUGAAUAUCUUUUUAGAGUCUUAGUAAUUUUUAUAGUAUUUAUUGGAGAAUGUUUCAGGUCAAGGUGCAGUUUAUAGUUAAGUGGAGAUGGAUUACAAUAUUUUUAUAUACACGGAUUAUUAUCUGAAAGGGUAGUAUGAAGGUGGAUUUAAUAGUAAUAUUAUGAAGAUUGUUAAUAUGAUUUUAGCUCUAAAAUAUGUACACAUCGCCCGUCGCUCUCGUUAUAUUUAAGAUGAG
Molecule: ribosomal RNA, 398 nt
Filed under: Symploce nigra
Lineage: Eukaryota; Metazoa; Arthropoda; Insecta; Blattodea; Blattellidae
Description: Symploce sp. n. 2 ZQW-2021a partial small subunit ribosomal RNA
Source: RNAcentral